Molecule: ribosomal RNA, 2910 nt
Filed under: Pseudoalteromonas luteoviolacea
Lineage: Bacteria; Pseudomonadati; Pseudomonadota; Gammaproteobacteria; Alteromonadales; Pseudoalteromonadaceae
Description: bacterial LSU rRNA
Rfam family: Bacterial large subunit ribosomal RNA
Source: RNAcentral
GUUGUAUGGUUAAGUGACUAAGCGUACACGGUGGAUGCCUUGGCAGUUGGAGGCGAUGAAGGACGUACUAACUUGCGAUAAGCUAAGUCAAGCCAGUAAGAGGCACUUGAGACUUAGAUUUCCGAAUGGGGAAACCCACCGCUUAGCGGUAUCUUACAGUGAAUACAUAGCUGUAAGAGGCAAACCGGGAGAACUGAAACAUCUAAGUACCCCGAGGAAAAGAAAUCAACCGAGAUUCCGAAAGUAGCGGCGAGCGAAAUCGGAUUAGCCCUUAAGCUUCAGUGUAAUUAGUGGAACCUUCUGGAAAGUUGGACGACACAGGGUGACAGUCCCGUACACGAAAAUUUAUCUGAAGUGAAAUCGAGUAGGUCGGAGCACGUGAAACUUUGACUGAAUAUGGGGGGACCAUCCUCCAAGGCUAAAUACUCCCAACUGACCGAUAGUGAACCAGUACCGUGAGGGAAAGGCGAAAAGAACCCCUGUGAGGGGAGUGAAAUAGAACCUGAAACCGUGUACGUACAAGCAGUAGGAGCCCUUCGAGGGUGACUGCGUACCUUUUGUAUAAUGGGUCAGCGACUUAUAUUCUGUAGCGAGGUUAACCAUUUAGGGGAGCCGUAGCGAAAGCGAGUCUUAACUGGGCGCUUAAGUUGCAGGGUAUAGACCCGAAACCCGGUGAUCUAGCCAUGGGCAGGUUGAAGGUCAGGUAACACUGACUGGAGGACCGAACCCACUAACGUUGAAAAGUUAGGGGAUGACCUGUGGCUAGGAGUGAAAGGCUAAUCAAACCGGGAGAUAGCUGGUUCUCCCCGAAAUCUAUUUAGGUAGAGCCUCGGACGAAUACUUACGGGGGUAGAGCACUGUUAAGGCUAGGGGGUCAUCCCGACUUACCAACCCUUUGCAAACUCCGAAUACCGUAAAGUACUAUCCGGGAGACACACGGUGGGUGCUAACGUCCAUCGUGGAGAGGGAAACAACCCAGACCGUCAGCUAAGGUCCCAAAGUGUAUGUUAAGUGGGAAACGAUGUGGGAAGGCUAAAACAGCUAGGAGGUUGGCUUAGAAGCAGCCAUCCUUUAAAGAAAGCGUAAUAGCUCACUAGUCGAGUCGGCCUGCGCGGAAGAUGUAACGGGGCUAAACAUACCACCGAAGCUACGGCUGCGAACUUAUGUUCGCGGGGUAGGGGAGCGUUCUGUAAGUGGCUGAAGGUGUGCCGGGAGGCAUGCUGGACAUAUCAGAAGUGCGAAUGCUGACAUGAGUAACGAUAAUGCGGGUGAAAAACCCGCACGCCGGAAGACCAAGGGUUCCUAUCCCAUGUUAAUCAGGGUAGGGUGAGUCGACCCCUAAGGCGAGGCUGAAGAGCGUAGUCGAUGGGAAACGGGUUAAUAUUCCCGUACUUGGUAUAAAUGCGAUGGGGGGACGGAGCAGGCUAGGCAAGCAUGGCGUUGGUUGUCCAUGUGAAAGGCUGUAGGCUGGUGACUUAGGAAAAUCCGGGUCGCUAAGGCUGAGAGUCGAGACGAGCUACUACGGUAGUGAAGUUGUUGAUGCCCUACUUCCAGGAAAAGCCUCUAAGCUUCAGUUUAUAUCGAAUCGUACCCUAAACCGACACAGGUGGUCAGGUAGAGAAUACUAAGGCGCUUGAGAGAACUCGGGUGAAGGAACUAGGCAAAAUUGUACCGUAACUUCGGGAGAAGGUACGCUCUUGUUUGUGAAGGACUUGCUCCGUAAGCAAACGAGAGCCGCAGUGACCAGGUGGCUGGGACUGUUUAUUAAAAACACAGCACUGUGCAAAAUCGUAAGAUGACGUAUACGGUGUGACACCUGCCCGGUGCCGGAAGGUUAAUUGAUGGGGUUAGACGUUUGUCGAAGCUCUUGAUCGAAGCCCCGGUAAACGGCGGCCGUAACUAUAACGGUCCUAAGGUAGCGAAAUUCCUUGUCGGGUAAGUUCCGACCUGCACGAAUGGUGUAACCAUGGCCACGCUGUCUCCACCCGAGACUCAGUGAAAUUGAAAUCGCAGUGAAGAUGCUGUGUACCCGCGGCUAGACGGAAAGACCCCGUGAACCUUUACUACAGCUUGGCACUGAACAUUGACCCUACAUGUGUAGGAUAGGUGGGAGGCUUUGAAGCACAGUCGCUAGAUUGUGUGGAGCCGUCCUUGAAAUACCACCCUUGUAGUGUUGAUGUUCUAACUUAGGCCCCUAAUCGGGGUUGAGGACAGUGCCUGGUGGGUAGUUUGACUGGGGCGGUCUCCUCCCAAAGAGUAACGGAGGAGCACGAAGGUUGGCUAAGUACGGUCGGACAUCGUACGGUUAGUGUAAUGGUAGAAAGCCAGCUUAACUGCGAGACAGACACGUCGAGCAGGUACGAAAGUAGGUCAUAGUGAUCCGGGUGGUUCUGAAUGGAAGGGCCAUCGCUCAACGGAUAAAAGGUACUCCGGGGAUAACAGGCUGAUACCGCCCAAGAGUUCAUAUCGACGGCGGUGUUUGGCACCUCGAUGUCGGCUCAUCACAUCCUGGGGCUGAAGUCGGUCCCAAGGGUAUGGCUGUUCGCCAUUUAAAGUGGUACGCGAGCUGGGUUUAGAACGUCGUGAGACAGUUCGGUCCCUAUCUGCCGUGGGCGUUUGAGAAUUGAGAGGGGCUGCUCCUAGUACGAGAGGACCGGAGUGGACGAACCGCUGGUGUUCGGGUUGUUAUGCCAAUAGCAUUGCCCGGUAGCUACGUUCGGAAUCGAUAACCGCUGAAAGCAUCUAAGCGGGAAGCGAGCCUCGAGAUGAGUUCUCACUUUAACUUAGAGUUAACUGAAGGGCCGUUGAAGACUACAACGUUGAUAGGCGAGAUGUGGAAGUGCUGUGAGGCAUUGAGCUAACUCGUACUAAUUACCCGUGAGGCUUAACCAUACAACGCCAAAGUGGUUU